AAUUGCUCCACGCGUGAUACUGGGGUUUCCUUCAAUUGGUUUCCUCUUCUGAAGGCUAAUCUUGUGCAGCCUGUUAUCCAAGUGUCCAUCAGAAGAUGAAUGGAUAAAGAAGACGUGGUCUAUGUAUACAAUGGAAUAUUCCUCAGCCAUUAGAAACGACAAAUACCCACCAUUUGCUUCGAUGCGGAUGGAACUGGAGGGUAUAGUGCUGAGUGAACGUCACCAUAAAAAUCAGCUACGCUGUUGGGUAGACCGAUGUCACAUCUGCCGUUUAAUAUAGGCCGUUCCAACAAUAAUGGUGUUUGAGAAAUGAUACUAAGCAUCACAGCAAAAAGCAUCCAGUGCCCUUUAAUAUUGCUACACAGAAAAGGUCACAAAG
Long non-coding RNA from Nyctereutes procyonoides (raccoon dog), 379 nucleotides. RefSeq lists it as uncharacterized. NCBI's taxonomy places the organism in Eukaryota, Metazoa, Chordata, Mammalia, Carnivora, Canidae. The transcript has 3 exons. The record is from RefSeq and is a predicted model, not a curated record.